RNAcentral lists this ribosomal RNA (441 nucleotides) under uncultured bacterium. Its description in RNAcentral is "partial 16S ribosomal RNA". It matches the Rfam family "Bacterial small subunit ribosomal RNA", at positions 338 to 795 of the family's 1533-position model. The record is from RNAcentral.
CCUACGGGCGGCAGCAGUGGGGAAUAUUGCACAAUGGGCGAAAGCCUGAUGCAGCAACGCCGCGUGAGUGAAGAAGGUUCUCGGAUUGUAAAGCUCUGUUAGCAGGGAAGAGGAAGGACGGUACCUGCAGAGGAAGCCACGGCUAACUACGUGCCAGGAGCCGCGGUAAUACGUAGGUGGCAAGCGUUGUUCUGAAUAACUGGGCGUAAAGGAUGCGUAGGGGGUUAAACAAGUGAUGUGUUAAAUAUAUAGGCUUAACUUGUAGAAAGCAUAUAAAACUGGUGAACUAGAGUGCAGGAGAGGUAAGUGGAAUUACUAGUGUAGCGGUGAAAUGCGUAGAGAUGAGGAAGAACACCAGUGGCGAAGGCGACUUACUGGACUGUAACUGACGCUGAGGCAUGAGAGCAUGGGGAGCAAACAGGAUUAGAUACCCUAGUAGUC